UACAGAGGGGGCAAGCGUUAAUCGGAAUUACUGGGCGUAAAGCGUGCGCAGGCGGUUCGUUGUGUCGGCGGUGAAAGCCCCGGGCUCAACCUGGGAAUGGCCGUUGAAACUGGCGAACUGGAGUGUGGCAGAGGGGGGUGGAAUUCCGCGUGUAGCAGUGAAAUGCGUAGAGAUGCGGAGGAACACCGAUGGCGAAGGCAGCCCCCUGGGCUGACACUGACGCUCAGGCACGAAAGCGUGGGGAGCAAACAGG
Molecule: ribosomal RNA, 253 nt
Filed under: uncultured bacterium
Lineage: Bacteria
Description: partial 16S ribosomal RNA
Rfam family: Bacterial small subunit ribosomal RNA
Source: RNAcentral